This is a long non-coding RNA of Stegostoma tigrinum, 3846 nucleotides long. RefSeq lists it as uncharacterized. Lineage: Eukaryota; Metazoa; Chordata; Chondrichthyes; Orectolobiformes; Stegostomatidae. The record is from RefSeq and is a predicted model, not a curated record. The transcript has 4 exons.
CCAGGCAGCGCGCUCCCAGUUCAAAAAAAAGGAGAAAACCCCACAAGAAGUUCUGACGUUCUCCCCCGGGCUCGAACCUCUCACCUUCCUUCAUUAACACACAAAACGCCGACUUCCUCCUUCAACUCGCCAGCACACACACACUGUAACGAUCGCAAACGCUGCAACAUUGUUUGUCCAGCUCGACAGCAAGAUGAGCUUGCGGUAGCACUGAGGCAAAAUGGCGACAUUUUAAAGAAGCAGGCAAACUCAGCUGGCCGCGUAAAAAAGAGGCAUAAAAACAUUUUGCAUCACCUGAAGUUGCCCCGAUCGAUCGACAAUCGCAAGAGUAAAAACAAAGAAAAAGGUGGAAAAUACGAGGCGGCGGCCAAAGGGAAGGGAGACUCUCACAAAAUCGGGCAUCUUACCUUAAAAUUUCUGGUUAGAUUAUUAUCUUCAGGGCCUUACAGUAGACUCUAUUCCUGGGUCAUGCGCGAUUCCACUUGUCCUUUGACAGUUGUACAGUGAGGAGGUAAGUUUCAACUCUCGCGUUACUAUUUAGUGCUGCACGAUUUUCAAGUUCCAGCACAAGCAGCAAAUCUGCAUUUUCAACGCUGCAAAUGUCUGCUUCGUGCCUGCCAAGAACAGACGACAGAUUACAUACUUGCAUCGAAUAUCAUUGCACAAAUAGGAUCCGCGACCCAAGUCGAAACUACAGAAGAACUGCCUCCACCUCCUUCACAAAUGUAACUUCGUGUUUAUGUAAUACUAUCUGCAGCAGUCUUUAUUUUGUCCAAACUCGACUAAAACUAUUUUUUUCCAAAUAUAAACAAAAAUUUGCUUCAACAACAAGGCCCUUAGUAUCUCAAAAUAUUUUACGAGACGAGAUUUGACAACGCCUACCGACAACUCGAGACCAGCCCAAUUUAUGUCCAAGAUAAAAGUAGAAAAAUCUCUUCGGGGCAUAAAGUGCUUUGUGUUUUCAUGUUUAGUCUGAACAACCACUUUUGAAAAUCAUGUCUUAUUUUGAACUAAAAACAAAGCAUCAACAUGGAUGGACCAGAAUAGAUCAUUGGUGACACAUACACCAAGAAACUUGAAACUCUCGACCACCUCCACCUCAGCACCAUUGAUACAGACAGGGGUGCAUCCUCCACUCCACUUGCUGAAGUUGAUGAACAACUCAUAUUGCUAACAUCCCAAGAGAGAAUGUUGUCUUUGCAUCAUGCCACUAAGCUGGCUGCCCCUUUCGUGUACUCUGAUCUGAUCUACAGAGGUGGCAUCAUCAGCAGAUUUGACAAAUGACAAUAGAGUGUGCAGAAGAGCCAUUAAAAUAUCUGUUAGGUCCUCGCUGGCAUGAGUUUGGAGCAUGAUUUCACCAGGGAUGGACAGCAAAUCAAGUGAAGUUCCCAAUUGUGAUUUCCAGAAAAGCAAUUAGAAUCCAAUUGAAGAGGUAGGAGCAUCCUGGAAAUGUUCAAAGGCAUACAAUCUGCUCAGACUUAACAAGUGGAUCAGCUUUUCAAAAAGUUUACGCCACUGUUGCCGAUAAUAAUAGUGACUGACAAUGACUGUAUGUGCCCAAUAACAACCUUUCAAGAGACAUCUAGAGCCAUCCUUUGGAUUCCCACAGUGAAAAAAAAAUGGUUGUGGUGGAAGGAAUGGUGGAAGGCUUUGCCAUAGUAGAAGAAAAACAUAGUAAGAUAUUGCUUUACCACAACACAAGCAAAGGAUUAGAAAACAUUUUCAAAAGUUUUACAUCCAAGCAGAUGACUGAACUGAAUCUCAUUUUUUUUGGCCAUGUGUGAGUUGUGUUGAUUUUUUGUUAUGGUAUUUUGCCACAUGGCCUGGCAAAUUUUCUCACUGCAUUUUACCAUUUUUGGCUCAUUAAUUGCCUCCCCUGCACUUAUGACAUCCUUCCCAUUAGGUCUAACUCCAUCUUACCACAGAUCACUCCAGGAGCAAAUUGCUACUGUAAAGAAUAUCGUGGAAUUGAUAGAAGCCCCUAGCAGAUACCUUUUUUAAAAGGCCGUUGUGCACUGUCAUUCCGAGGUGGCCCUAUGUGGUUUCAGGUAUCUUGAAUUUAUCAGCAGUCACACAUAUUACAGUUAUCCUUCCUUUUAGUCAGUAUUCUCACCUGGAUGUGUUUUUUCCACUGUGUGGGAGUCAUAGGGCUUUCAACCUGUGUUCAAUUCUGCAUCCUUAAUUUCAUACCACCUCCCUACUUUGCCAAAGAAGCUCCUUAAACUGGCAGCUUGUCUGUGUGUUCUGUGUUUGCAGUUGGUGAGGUUCCAUUUUCAACAUGUGGCCAUUCUCAUAAAGGUUUUAAUCAAAGCAUGGAAACAUAGAAAUAUAGAAAUGAAGGAGAUGAUGGGCUUUCCUGGCCUCUCCAAGGGGAAACUGCAGGCUGGUUUCGUUGCCUUUGGAGAAUUUCAGUUUUGCUGUUUCAUCCAUGUAACUUUUCUGAAAUUGUGAUGUCACAAUGGUGAUUUUAAGUCAGAGUUUUUGCUCCUUUUAAGAUUAUUUUAAAUUGAGUGCUGGAAAUCAAAACAAAAUGGUCGAUAUUUUGAAUAAUCAUGACACAAACAUUGAAUUCAAAUCCGACAUUAACUUCCCAGACGAAAAACAUGAGUCAAAUGAGAUCAAGCCUGAUGUCAAAUGAUAUCCUAAUCAUGACAGAAGAGUUACUUCAAUGACUAAUCACAUGAUGAUUGCCCUCUGCCUGUUUCUAUUCAUCACAAUCUGAUGGAACUUAGCCUUCAACAUUUGUAAUAAAACAGUUACCCUGGGAUACUGCCAGCUCCAGCACCUCCAACUCCAGGACUGUGAUGAGUGGAACAGAAUUAACCAGUUGGUCAAGUGCCUUGAGAUUGUUCCAUGGACGGAGAUCAAAGCAGCAUAGUCUUCACUGAUGACCUCUAAUUUUAUUUCCACGUUAUCAGAAGAUAAUUGAACUGAAGAUUGUAUCACCUAUUAUAUCACUUAUAGUUCAUGAUAAAAAGCUGCCUUUUCUGACUGGCUCUACAGUACUCCCUUAAUCUUAGAUCAGGAACUUUAAGUGCCUCUUAACGAAAACAAAAUUACUUUAUCAUAAUUUUCUGUGAAUAUGGUGUUGCAUUGCAAGAAUUGAUAAUGCUAUAAUGCCAUAACACCAGGAUUAAAGGAAUUAAAAUCCAUCUAUUGUCAAUAUAGUUUAUGUCCUACAAAUACAAAAUCAAAAUACUAUUGCUUUCAGAAUACUAAUAUAAAAGCAGAAGAUGGUGGAAAUACUCAGCAGGUCAGGCACUUUCUGCAGAGAGAGGAACUGAAUUUCCAUUUCAGGUCUGAGAUCUGGGUUCUGCUGAUAGAAGACAGACAUAGCAUGGUUCUGUCUUUGUCGAUGCUGGUGGACCUACUGGAUAUUGACAGUACAUUUUUGAUUCCAUAUUGUGGUCUUAAAUAUGCUGCCCACCCAAAUCUAUCUAGCUUCAUUCAAUACCUUUUUGUAAGUGAAUUAAUAUCAAACAAGUUUUGUGCCAAUUCCCUGGCAAGUUGUGCGGGUUUAGCUUUGUAUCCAAACUCUAAUUUACAUUAUUAGAUCAUGUGCACAUCAAUGCUGCUUCUUACAUGUUUGCAUUCUAUAUUUCUCAAUCUUUCUUCUUUACCAGAUAGCUAACUCCAUUUUUAUUAUGACUAUCAAUAUUUUAAAGCUGAUUUCAGGGAAUUAUGUGCUUUUAUAGUGCUCAAUUUAUUCCUGUGUCUAUUUGUAUUCCACACUUUGCUCUGCUGGAUACACCCUCUUCCUUUCCUGAACAAUUUUAGCCAUUUGUAAUGAAGCACACCAGUUUUCUAAAUUUAAUUUUCCUUUGUUCCUUGCUUGAAAGAACAUCA